ACACAGCUGCCUGGUAGAUAACUGGAGGUGUUUGCUGAUGUGGCCCCAACCCUGCCUCCCUCCCAACCCUGUGAUGUUAGAAGAAACUUGUCAGAGCAAAUUGGGAGCAGCCAAGAAAAAGCUAAAAGAAUAUCAGCAGAGGAACAGCCCUGGUGUUCCGGCAGAUGAAAAAGAAAAAAACUGGCCGUAGCCCUGAGACAACCACUUCUGGUGGUUGCCACUCACCUGGGGAUAGCCGGAACCAAGAACUAGCAGUAGCCCUGGACUCAAGCUCCGCAACCAUCAAUCAACUCUAUGGAAACAGAAUCAUUGAAACAACAGAAGAAACAAGUGGAACAUCAGCUGGAAGAAGAAAAGAAAGCAAACAAUGACAUACACAAAGCACAGACGGAGCAGUUAGAGACAAUCAACAUCCUCACAUUGGAAAAGGCAGACUUGAAGACCACCCUUUACCAUACUAAACGUGCCGCCAGACACUUCGAAGGUGGGAAUCUGGAUCUGGCCGGCCGCCUGCAAUACUCCUUACAGCGUAUUCAAGAAUUGGAGCGGGCUCUCUCUGCUGUUUCUGCACAGCAGCGGGAAGAGGACAGGUCCUCGAGCCGCAGUGAAGCCGUCCUCCAGCGGCAGUUCCGGCAGACCUUAAAGGAGCGGGCGCUGCUGAACGCACACGUGACACAGGUGACAGAGUCACUUAAACAAGUCCAGCUAGAGAGAGAUGAAUAUGCUCAACAUAUAAAAGGAGAGAGGGCCCGGUGGCAGGAGAGGAUGAGGAAAAUGUCGAUGGAGGUGAGACCUGACCCUCCAGCCCCCACCUUAGAUGGGUCACUGGAUCUUUCUGGGCAUCUGUAAAAUGGGAAUGCUGAGCCCCCAUCCCCAGUGCCCCCAGCAGGGCCCUCUGAAGUGGAGCAGCUACAAGAUGAGGCCAAACACCUGAGGAAGGAGGUGGAGAGUUUGGUGGGAAAACUCCAAUCCCAGGUGGAAAACAAUCAGGCCUUGAGUCUCCGGAGCAAGGAGCAAAAGGAGAGGCUUCGGGAGCAGCAGGAGAGGCUGCAAAAGCAGGAGGAGAGGCUGUGAAAGGAGGAGGAGAAGCUGCGAAAGCAGGAGGAGAGGCUGUGGGAUCAGGAGGAGAGGCUGUGGGAGAAGGAGGAGAGGCUAUGAAAGCAGGAGGAGAGGCUGCAAAAGCAGGAGAAGAGAUGCACACUCUCCCAGAACCACAAGCUCGACAAACAGCUGGCCAAGCCACAGUGCGGCUUCAAGGAGCUGGUAGAACAUGAGAACAAGAGCACACUGCAGUUGGAGUAGCAAGUAAAGGAGCUGCAGGAGAAGCUGAGCAAGGAGCACCUAGAAGCUGCCAGCCAGUGGAACCAACAGCUAGAGACCCAGUUGAGCCUCAUGGCUCUCCCUGGACAAGGAGAUGGAGGAGGACAUCUGGACAGUGAGGAGGAGGGGGUGCCUCGGCCUAUGCCGAGUGUCCCAGAGGACCUGGAGAGCCGGGAAGCCACGAGUGGCUUUAUGGACCUCCGAAAGGAGAAGGUGGACAGGAUGGAGCAGGUGGAGAACCUAAAGCUUGGAUUCAUCCAGCUCUCUGGAGCAACAGACGGCAUGAGAGAGUACAUCACCAUAUAUGGGAGCCAAGGGGCAGUGCCAAACACGCGGCACCAGGAGAUGGAGGAUAUCAUCAGGCUGGACCAGAACGAGGAGGAGAUGAAGGUGAAUCUACUGGAGCUGCAGAAGCUGCUGUUGACACUUGUGGGUGACCAUGAGGGACAUGACAAAUUCCUCCCUGCUGCCCACAACCCUGCUGAUGAGCCUGCUCCAGGGGCCCCAGCCCCCCAGGAGAUUGGGGCUGCUGAGGAGCAGCCUGAUUUUUAUGAGGUGAGCGUGGUGGACAGCGUGGAGCCUGCACCAGGAGAGGCCAGGGAGGGUUCUCCCCGUGACAACCCCACCUCACAGAAGAUUGUGCAGCUGCUUCCUGUAACGCAGGACACCCAGGAGCACCCAGGCUUGGCCAGCAAACCCUGCAUGCCAUUCUUUUACUGGGCAGCUGAGAACAGAGAGAUAAACAUCAUCAUCACCUAAGAGCUGGUCAAGAAAUUGAAAAAACAGCAACCAAAAGUUAUGGGGUUAAUCUCCUACACAAUUCAUUUACUUCAUUUGAAUGUUAGAGCUCCUCAUGUUUAUUUAUGUUUCUAAUUUACAGUUUAAAUUUAUUUGUAGAAAGUUAAGGGAGAGUGGGUCUUUCCCUGAUGUUCACUCUGGCAUCCUUCAACAUUUUUGUUUUUAAUUUGAUAAUUGUAGGUCAUUAGCUCGCAUAUCGAGUUUGCCUUUACAUGGUAGGAGUUCAAACACACAAAGACCCACUAUUUGCACAAAACUAUUCUUGCUGGUUUGGAAUAGGCUGCCAUGCUUUUUAAAUGUUAUUGCAGCAUGUAUACUCAUUACAGAAUUCAGAUAAAAUUUGCUUAUGUUCUGCUAUUAUGUUUGAUCGAUUCCUAAUCACAGUGAGCUCUUCAUUAGCUCAAUACGUGGUUUGCCCUCAAGUGCACACUGUUUCUUACUUUGUAAUAUGCCACUGUGAGUACUGACAUUUAGAGUUGUUUAAAGGCCGAGAACUGGAAACAGAUUUUCCCCUAUUUUCUGUGUAUUGGGGAUGGGAGUAAUAACAUUUUGGGGAGCUUUUUAAAUCUCACAGAAGAGGAAAGUGGCCUGCUCUGGCAGGUGUGUGCAGGAUAGAGUGUGAUUCAUUUGUUCUGGUGCCAGGAAUGAGCGCGGUUCUAUGGUAGUUCCCUUAGGAUUUGUACGUGCUCUGGGCUCAUGAAGAUAUCGCAGCAUGAGCUGCAGCGGUUGGACUCUUUCUCAAUGACCUAAAAGGGAUUAUUUCUGAGGAAUGAAAGGCUCCCGCCAUUGACUGUGGAUGUGGAAAAUCUUUUCUAGCUUAGAGCAUUUAUAUCUACAAUACAUUUUAAAGUCAGAGUUCAUGUUACCUGUUUUAAUCACAUGACUACAUGUCCCAGUACACAAAAGGGCACUGCUUGGCAUUCUUCUUAGUGUAUUUAGUGACGAUCAUAAGAAACACUUUCAGAGUUUAAAUGUCCCUGGAACAGGCAUACAGGCUCUAGUCAAGAAUGAAUUCGAGUGAAGGAAAGCUGUGUGACACCUGGCAUUCCUCUAUGUUCACGGAGCUUCUUUGAGGCUAGAAGACUGAUUUUACCAUCUAGACCUCUCUGGCUAAUACCUAUUCUUCAGCCACAUUGGUUAAUCUGACAUAGGAAUUACUUCUUUUCCUUGAAUGGAAAACACUUUAAAAAUAAUAACAACCAUUUUAAUAAAGUAAUACAUGUGAGAGUAUUUGUUGAAACAAAAAGCAGUUUUAGUGGACAGUGUUAUACUACAUUUGAAAAUCAAGAAGUUUAUGCAACUUAAAAUAUUUACAAACUGCAAUGCAAUCCACUGUUUGUGAAUGUCAAAGUAUUAUGAGUAAAAGUAUCUACACAAUCACAGAAUUAUAUUUCCUCACAAAGUUCUUUAUGAAGAGUGAAAUAUGUUUUUGUACCUCUUGGUUUCAGUUAGAGGCAUAUUUUGUGCCGUAUUUAUGUGCCUAUACAGGAUGAAUGAAUUAUUUCAGUCAUACAUUGCCUAAAUUGUAACUUUAUGAUGCUUGGGAAAGAAUCAACAGCUAAAACUUCAUGAAGUUCUAAUGUCUAUGUUCGAAAAUAUGUCACAUUAUUAGGAUGUAGGGAGAGAUGUGUGUGCACUCCCUGGGAUGGGCAUUUCUAGUCACUAGAUCAUCUCCAUUUUCAGCAUUUGACAUCCUCAUGAUACUUUUAUAAAUAUGACAUUAAUAGGAGAGCAAUAAUAUGAUUUUACAGAUGGAAUAACAGAUUUGCCUGCAUUCACUGAAAGAGUGCAAAUAUUGGGUCCUUGUGACUUCAACUGACUCUUCCAAAUUGUAUGAAUUUAUCAAUGUAUUAGAUAAACCCAGUUUCAGAAUGAUAAAGAAAAACUGUUAGACCAAAUAAUGUGGCUAAUUAACAGUGGUACAAUUUCUAGCCUAUUUAAAAUGGACUUAAGGUCCUGUUCUUGCCUUCUAUUUUGUGAACUUGCCGCUUUUGCAUUAUUUGAGUUCACUUGAAAGACUGUUACUUUAAGUCCAUUUUAAACCCUCGGGCUAGAAAUCUUACCACUGUUAAUUAGCCACCUUCUUUGGUCUAACAGUUUUUCUUUAUCAUUCUGAAACUGGGCUUACCUAAUACAUUGAAAAAUUAUUUCAAGGAAUUUUCAUAGUUCAAAUCACUUCACUUUUGCCUUGAUAAAUAUAAAUGACUAGGAAUGUCCUUCAGAUCACGUUUAGCAUCUGUAACCAAUCUGACAAUAAUGUGCUCAUCAGGUACCUAUGGGUGAAAUCACACACUGGCAUGUUGAAGCUGGAUGUCAGUCUGGAAAAGAAAUGUACUGUAUUAACCAAAAUACCACUCUUUGUGUAGAUAUUUUGUCCUAUGUUUCCGAAAAAGCUAGAAAGAAUGGAAAUCCUAUGAUAAUAACUUAAGUCUUCAAAGUGCAUACAGUCUCUUGCGAUACCUCAUUCAGCCAAGUAUUUAUUCUCUUUCUUAUUCAGUAUAAGACAGCUUUCAAUUUGCUUAGAAGGCAACAUUAGAAGGUUAGAGUUCAUCAGAAAUAUAGAAUUUUAAAAUGUGAGUUCAACUGAAUAAAUAUGAAUUUCUGUAGGAACUAAGGAAUCAAAAUACAUAUUUAAAGAUUGCAAUAUAUGGUCAUUAUUUUUAGAGUAUCUGAUUAAACCUGAUAGGUUUUCCAGAAAUGAAAAAAAUCAGCUCUAAAACCAAAGCAGAUUUUUAGAAAAAUGUGAAAAUGUAACUCAGCCCUAUCCAUAAUACUUUCUCUAAACCUUUAUCUUACAGAGUCACUUUAAAAUAAUAUAACUAUUGAAAAAUAUAACUGCUAUGUUAAUGUUGUGAAAUAAGUUAAAACAUCUUAAAAUAUGAAUACUGUAGUUUAAAACAAAGAAACUGGGGGAAGGAAAAGUAGAGAAAGAGAUGUCAAUUCCAGUCCACAGCUUUAUUUGCCAAGUUUUCUUAAAAUGACUUUUACCAAUUUACGAAUUCCUGUCAACAGAAUGUAUAAUGGAAAUACUGAAAGACUGUUGUCUAAAGUGCCAUUAUUGACUGCUACUGUGAUGCUACUGUAAUGUAAUAAAUUAGGAAAUUGUUGCAAAA
Molecule: non-coding RNA, 5231 nt
Organism: Macaca mulatta (Rhesus monkey)
Lineage: Eukaryota; Metazoa; Chordata; Mammalia; Primates; Cercopithecidae
Source: RefSeq, a predicted model, not a curated record